Long non-coding RNA from Mastomys coucha (southern multimammate mouse), 429 nucleotides. RefSeq lists it as uncharacterized. NCBI's taxonomy places the organism in Eukaryota, Metazoa, Chordata, Mammalia, Rodentia, Muridae. The transcript is spliced from 2 exons. The record is from RefSeq and is a predicted model, not a curated record.
UAGGAGAAGGGAGCUUGCAAACAGCUUUCUGCAGUGGCGGUUGUUUCAGUUACUGCUUCCAGGUUUUGCCUUGGUACCUGCUCGGGUUUCCUCGGAUGAUCGACUGUAACUUGGCUUCACUACGUCCUCAGCCACUCAUUUGGAAGCUCUCCUUCAGCAGAUCCCAGAGAAUGUAUUCUUUACUAGAAUAAGGCUUGAAACUGAACUAAAAGUCGGACCGUUUUUUUCUGUCACCUGAAGAACAGAAGAAUUAAACAACUGAUACUUUCCUGCUUUCAUUAACAUAAAAGGGAAUUGUAACUGUAUUUUCAACUUAUCCGGAGAAAGUGAACCUGGGUGAAUGCACAAGUGGACGGUUUACAGGGCCUCUCUACACUUUCUGCUCAGUUUCGAUGUUUUCUGUAUUAACAAUAAAAUAUUUAAAGUAUA